RNAcentral lists this unclassified non-coding RNA (240 nucleotides) under soil metagenome. Its description in RNAcentral is "partial contains 5.8S ribosomal RNA, internal transcribed spacer 2, and large subunit ribosomal RNA". The record is from RNAcentral.
AACAUCGCGCACCUGCGGGAACCUGCGGAAGGAUCAUUACCGAGUUAGGGUCUUCCUGGCCCGACCUCCAACCCUUUGUUUACUAUACCCAUGUUGCUUUGGCGGGCCUGCCUUUCGGGGCUGCCGGGGGCAUCACUGCCCUUGACCUGUGCCUGCCAGGAGCCUUCUUUAAAUUUUGUGUUCAACUGUGUUGUCUGAGUCCCAAUAUCAAAAUAUAAAAAACUUUCAGCAAUGGAUCUC